RNAcentral lists this ribosomal RNA (492 nucleotides) under uncultured bacterium. RNAcentral's name for it is "partial 16S ribosomal RNA". It matches the Rfam family "Bacterial small subunit ribosomal RNA", at positions 28 to 507 of the family's 1533-position model. The record is from RNAcentral.
GAUGAACGCUAGCUACAGGCUUAACACAUGCAAGUCGAGGGGAAACGACAUCGAAAGCUUGCUUUUGAUGGGCGUCGACCGGCGCACGGGUGAGUAACGCGUAUCCAACCUGCCCAUCACUUGGGAAUAACCUUGCGAAAGUAAGACUAAUACCCAAUGACAUCCCACGAAGACAUCUGAAUGGGAUUAAAGAUUUAUCGGUGAUGGAUGGGGAUGCGUCUGAUUAGCUUGUUGGCGGGGUAACGGCCCACCAAGGCAACGAUCAGUAGGGGUUCUGAGAGGAAGGUCCCCCACAUUGGAACUGAGACACGGUCCAAACUCCUACGGGAGGCAGCAGUGAGGAAUAUUGGUCAAUGGGCGAGAGCCUGAACCAGCCAAGUAGCGUGCAGGAUGACGGCCCUAUGGGUUGUAAACUGCUUUUAUAAGGGAAUAAAGUGGGUCUCGUGAGACUUUUUGCAUGUACCUUAUGAAUAAGGACCGGCUAAGUCCGUG